UUUUCCAGUUCUAUUAAUUGCCAGGAUUGGCUUGUAAGAGAAUAAGGUGUGCAAUGAAGUCUUAUAAGUUAUCAGAACUUAGUCAUGCUGAGGUAGAAAGCUUGAAGGCUCGUCCUCGGAUAGAUUUUUCUUCCAUAUUCGGUGUGAUCCAACCAAUAGUUGAAGAUGUCCGCAGUAGAGGCAAUGCCGCAGUUA
Hibiscus syriacus is the source of this 195-nucleotide long non-coding RNA. RefSeq lists it as uncharacterized. The record is from RefSeq and is a predicted model, not a curated record. Lineage: Eukaryota; Viridiplantae; Streptophyta; Magnoliopsida; Malvales; Malvaceae. The transcript is spliced from 3 exons.